UUCAACAGCGCUUCAGACUGUGACCAUGAGGCUUUUAGGUUGUUGGCUUACGUAAGCUGAGGACUGUGGAGGCCAUUUGAAUACAGUGAACUCAUUGUCAUAUCCAAAAAACAGUUUGAGAUGAUCUGAGCUUUGCCACAUGAUGUAUUAUCCAGCUGGGUACACAAAUAAGGGAUUGACACAGCAUUAAUGGAUGGACACGGACAGCAACACAAGCAACCUAGACAGUUUCCCAUCCUUAGCUGACAGGAGAGGCACCUGUUGUGGUCUUCUGCUGCUGUAGCCCAUCUGCUUCAAGACCUGAUGUCUGGUGCUACUCUGCAUACCUUGGUUGCAAUGAGUGGUUAUUUGAGUUGCUGUCAGCUUCAACUCAAAGCUUGAUCACACAGCCUUCUUUACUGCCUGGUCUCUGUCACGGUCUGUUAACAAGACGCCG
Oreochromis aureus is the source of this 436-nucleotide long non-coding RNA. The record is from Ensembl. NCBI's taxonomy places the organism in Eukaryota, Metazoa, Chordata, Actinopteri, Cichliformes, Cichlidae.